Molecule: long non-coding RNA, 1459 nt
Organism: Leucoraja erinaceus (little skate)
Lineage: Eukaryota; Metazoa; Chordata; Chondrichthyes; Rajiformes; Rajidae
Exons: 4
Source: RefSeq, a predicted model, not a curated record
UCUGCAGGUUUUUUUUUUAAAUCCCCGCUGUUAUUCCAUCGCUUUGUUCCUUUUAGUUGAAUUAACCAGCAUUGAUUGUGUCUCCAUGGAAUAACAAUACACGCUUCCCCGUCAUUUCGUUGGAAAAUGUCUGCACCGGCGAUGUCAGGGCAGGUUGGGGUGGCUUCAAGGAGGAGCGUCUGUGGGUCACAGCUGCAGCCGCCCAGCAGCGCCAGCGCCCGCUUCGCCGAUUUAAUUGAAGAUAGACAGAAAAUGCUGGAGUAACCCAGCGGCACAGGCAGCAUCUCUUGAUAGAAGAAACGGGUGACCUUUCUGGUCGAGACCCUUCAUCAGACUGAGAGUCAGGGGAGAGGGAGACCAGAGAUGUGGAGGGGAUAAGAUGUGAAAACACAGAUCAAAGCAGACAAAAUGUGCAGGGAAAAGCUGCAGAUGCUGGUUUACACCGAAGAUAGGCGCAACAUGCUGGAGAAAUUCAAUGGGACAGGCAGCAUCUCUGGAGAGAAGAAAUGGAGACUGAAAAAGGAUCUCGACCCGAAACGUCACCCAUUUCUAUUCUCCAAAGGUGCUGCCUGACCCGCUGAGUUAUCCCAGCUUUUUUUUUAAUGUCUGUCUUAGAUCAAAUCAGACCAUAAUGAAGGAAAUGUAGAAUGGUUCAUUGUUGGCUGAGAGGAAGGUGACACCGAGGUGUACAAACAAUAACAUUAAUCAGGACGGCGAAACUGGUCGGAGAAUUGGGAUGGAGGGAGAGGAGAUGCAAUGGUCACUUGAAGGUAAUGAAAUGAAUGUUCACACCGCUGGGGUCCAAGCUCCCCGAGAGAAAUUACAUUAACUCCCGCGUCACCAUGGAGACCCCGGCACGCUCUCCAUCCGAAAAAUAACGGUCGGAGCUCGAGGGUCAGAGACGCGGGCGCCGCCACCUCCACACACCCACCUUGGAUUCCUGGGCAAAUCACAGCUCUGAGCAUCAGAAAACCGCAGCUGUUUCUGUUUCUAACUCAAUGUCAUUUGAGACUAUUAUUGAAUCCUCCUUUUAAAAGACAGCCAACCAGUUAGAAAACUCCUUGGAGAAGGAUCACCUGUUUUCAGAACAGAAUUCAAGACAAAAUUAAUGAACAGCCGUGACAAGAAAAACAAUGUCUCGAGGAUCAAUGAGAAAGAACAUAAAACAGAGGGGAGCAAGAGACCCAAGAAUAAAUAACUGAAUAUGUCGAGGAUCAACGAGGAAAAACACAAAACAUGGAGCAAGAGACACAACGAAAAUGAACUUAACUGAAUACAUUUUAAUAUUUAACAUUUAAAUUGUUGUAUUUUAAGUUAUUUACAUUUUAAGAUUUAAUAAAUCCCUUUUCCACUUGCAGCGCCUGUCAGCCGAUCUCUCUCUGCCCUCUCUCUCUCUCUUUGAUCUUUAUCUUUUUCUCUGCCUCUCUCUCUCUUCCACUCUGUCUGUGCACCCUCUCUC